Castor canadensis (American beaver) is the source of this 73-nucleotide non-coding RNA. The record is from the annotation of a RefSeq genome assembly. NCBI's taxonomy places the organism in Eukaryota, Metazoa, Chordata, Mammalia, Rodentia, Castoridae.
GGAGGCAUGGCUUAAGUGGUAGAGCGCCUGCCUGGUGAGCAUGAGGCCCUGAGUUCAAAUCCCAGUGCCGCCA